Molecule: long non-coding RNA, 552 nt
Organism: Aedes albopictus (Asian tiger mosquito)
Lineage: Eukaryota; Metazoa; Arthropoda; Insecta; Diptera; Culicidae
Exons: 2
Source: RefSeq, a predicted model, not a curated record
GCAUAGUGUAUCCUUGUACUUGCCUCACAAUGUACAAAUUCAUGCAAUGGCAGGCAAAGAAAGCCCUUCAAUUAAUAACUGUGGAAGUGCUCAAAAGAACACUAAGUUGAAGCGAGGCAGGUCAAGUUCCAUUGCGAACGUCGAGCCAUAAAGAAGAAGAAGAAACCACGGACAAACAGACGUAAAACUUCGAACAUUUUUCGAUACAAAUCAUAGUCACGGAUUGCCUGUGAUGAAACUAUUUCAACAAGUAGUGUUCGGCUUCACAUAAUGAGGUUACAAUUGGCUUCUUUAGCGGUGUUGAGAUAAUUCCAUAUUCUGAAUCUGCGUGCAAAACUGAGCUGAAAUCCAAAUUUUCAUGAAUUUUGGUGCCGGGAAGCAAUUUAAAAAUCAAUUUGAAGUUUGUAUGGGAGCGAUUUGUCGAAUCACCUCUCGUCGCAUUUUGUACUGGGUGGAGCUGUCAAACAGUUACCCAGCUGUCAAAAGGUGAUUUAAAAAAAUAUCUUUGAAAUUGAUUUUAGGUACCAAAAUAAAGUUCUGAAAAAAAUCAUA